UACGUAGGUGGCAAGCGUUGUCCGGAAUUACUGGGCGUAAAGCGUGCGCAGGCGGUUUUGUAAGUCAGAUGUGAAAUCCCCGGGCUUAACCUGGGAACUGCGUUUGAAACUACAAGGCUAGAGUGUGGCAGAGGGGGGUGGAAUUCCACGUGUAGCAGUGAAAUGCGUAGAGAUGUGGAGGAACACCGAUGGCGAAGGCAGCCCCCUGGGUUAACACUGACGCUCAGGCACGAAAGCGUGGGGAGCAAACAGG
Molecule: ribosomal RNA, 253 nt
Filed under: uncultured bacterium
Lineage: Bacteria
Description: partial 16S ribosomal RNA
Rfam family: Bacterial small subunit ribosomal RNA
Source: RNAcentral